This 433-nucleotide ribosomal RNA is filed under the name uncultured bacterium. RNAcentral describes it as "partial 16S ribosomal RNA". It matches the Rfam family "Bacterial small subunit ribosomal RNA", at positions 29 to 507 of the family's 1533-position model. The record is from RNAcentral.
AACGAACGCUGGCGGCAGGCCUAACACAUGCAAGUCGAGCGAGGACUUCGGUCCUAGCGGCGGACGGGUGAGUCACGCGUGGGAACGUGCCCUUUGCUUCGGAAUAGCCCUGGGAAACUGGGAGUAAUACCGGAUGAGCCCUUUGGGGGAAAGAUUUAUCGGCGAAGGAUCGGCCCGCGUUGGAUUAGGUAGUUGGUGGGGUAAUGGCCUACCAAGCCGACGAUCCAUAGCUGGGUUGAGAGGAUGCUCAGCCACACUGGGACGGAGACACGGCCCAGACUCCUACGGGAGGGAGCAGUGGGGAAUCGUAGACAAUGGGGGAAAUCCUGAUCUAGCCAUGCCGCGUGAGCGAUGAAGGCCUUAGGGUUGUAAAGCGCUUUCAGCUGGGUAGAUAAUGACGGUACCAGCAGAAGAAGCCCCGGCUAACUCCGUG